GAGUUUGAUCCUGGCUCAGGAUUAACGCUGGCGGCGUGCCUAAUACAUGCAAGUCGAACGGAAGUACCUUCGGGUACUUUAGUGGCGAACGGGUGAGUAAUACAUAGGUAACCUACCCUUAAGACGAGGAUAGCCAUUGGAAACGAUGGAUAAAACUGGAUAGGAUAUAGAGGAAGAAUCUUUUAUAUUUAAAAGAGAGAUCUGCUUAAGGAGGGGCCUGUGGCGCAUUAGCUAGUUGGUGGGGUAAGGGCCUACCAAGGCGAUGAUGCGUAGCCGGACUGAGAGGUUGAACGGCCACAAUGGAACUGAGAACGGUACAUACUCCUACGGGAGGCAGCAGUAGGGAAUUUUCGGCAAUGGGGGGAACCCUGACCGAGCAACGCCGCGUGAACGAAGAAGUUAUUCGU
This 407-nucleotide ribosomal RNA is filed under the name uncultured bacterium. Its description in RNAcentral is "bacterial SSU rRNA". It matches the Rfam family "Bacterial small subunit ribosomal RNA", at positions 9 to 421 of the family's 1533-position model. The record is from RNAcentral.